RNAcentral lists this unclassified non-coding RNA (21 nucleotides) under Mus musculus (house mouse). Its description in RNAcentral is "oocyte_clustered_small_RNA11465". The record is from RNAcentral. Lineage: Eukaryota; Metazoa; Chordata; Mammalia; Rodentia; Muridae.
UCAAACCACAUGAGAUCUCUG